UCUAAUAGCAGUAUGUGUCCUUUCUCCCCAAUGAGGUAUACAGCUUCCUAGGAGCAGAUAUUAUAUCUGCCCAAAUCAGAGUUAGCAUAUGUAAGAGAGUCAGUAAAAUACUUCCUGAAUUCAACUGAGGCAAUUCCAUGAAGAAAAAGGAACCACAAGAGGGAACAUCAUGAGAUAAAUCAAGACUUCCCACUAUCCAACUGUAAAGUUCCCAAUCAUCAACAACUUCAUGCCCACCCUCCACCACAAAGGGAAAGGAAACUGCCCUUAGCAUCCCUGAAGGGAUUUUGCCUUGCUUGUGUCUCAAAACUCUUCUGUGCUCUGUGACCCAGGAUGUCAGCGUAUCAUCAAACAACACUCUGAUUUUUUUUUUUUUUUUACCUUAUCUCCUGUUCUUAGACCUUGGCCUCUCUUCCUCAGUGUACUGAAUCAGCUUUUGCUAUAAUUUUGGUGACUCAUAUUGGCCCUGAUCAUUAUUGGAAUCCCGUAAGUUUCAUAUUCUGCUCCAAGAAACAUUUGGAUAAAUUGAGAAAAACUAAUAGCCUUUCAUGGUAAUAACAGUCUACUCCCUUCAUGAUGUCAACAAAUGCUAUCAGAGUCCACACAAGACCUCCCAAACAUUUCUGAUGAUCAGAGACAAGAUACCGUCUUAUAUACCAAAAACCUCAGGUGAGAAACAGAAGUAAACUGGCAAGCCAUCCCUGAAGCUCCAGACAGCAAACACAGCAAGCAUGCAGCUUCCCCUUCUGUCUGGAGGAAUCUUGUGCUAAGCAGCACCUACCCACAAGCCUUUGUUUCUCUACAGAUGGAAAAGCUCCUGCCAUCCUGGGCAGCACAUGGUAGAGGGGAGGCAGCCACUGACCUUCUGGGUAAUCUGUCAUGACGACCUGAUAGCAGACCGGCAGGAUGCUCCAAACUGUCACCAAAGAUGUCACGAGUGCUUCUGAGGCUCAAGAAUCUAAUUUUCCUUACUUAAAAUAAAAGGACUGAAUGCUGGAUGAAUAACCCUUUUUUUCACCCCCUAAACAAAUCUCAUAGGGAAUCCUAAUAUAUAAAAUAACCAAAGUGCAAGCCCUGGGUUAAAGCCGAGGAUGGGUGCUAGAGAUGGGCUAGAGCAUGUCUGCUUAGCUUUCUUCCACUAUCCCAGCCAUUUAAAGACCACAAGUUAGCUUCCUGGAAUUCAGUUUGACAAACACUUAGGCUAGAUCAUUGUCAGGGGACCUUCAUUUCAAGCUCCAUGGAGUAGGUCGGGGACUCUGCCUUGGUCAUCCCUGAAUCCCCACAGCCAUGGUUCUAGCACACAGUAAGCACUAAAAACCAAAACCCAAAAACCCGUAUGAUAAUGUAUGUCUACAGACAUUCGAUGAAUGGAUGAAUAAAAGAUUUUUCAGAUACCAUGAGAUGUGUUUAUCUAUUUAAGAUUAUAACUCCAUUGACCAAUAGAGUUGGGUUUUAAGCUAUAACCCCCCAAUCUGACCAUCUACUAUAUACCUUCCCUUCCCCCAACUUUUCUCUCUACACAUAUAAAAACUCAGCCUUAUCUUCUCUGAGAUUGCAUCUCAAACACCAAAUGAAAAUGUCUCCCAAAUGGGCAGACAGCUUGUUUAUACAGAAAUAAUUGCUUCAGCACAGUGUCCUCCUUUACAGGAAAACUGGAAGAAAAUGCUGAGUAGGCAGAUUCCUCCUCCUUUGCAUUAGGAAGAAAUUUAAAACCUGUUUCAGUUGUUUCUUUGGCCUUGUGUAAAAAUAAGGCUUUUCUCCCCAACCUUGGGGCUAAGUAAAAAAUAAAUAAAUAAAUAAAUCUAAACCUGGCUUACAGUUUCUCUGAGCUCCCAAAAUAAGUCCAUGCGAUUUUGAAAUGUAUUCUUCCCCCUUCUUUUCUUAAGUUGGAACCAGUCAGAGAUGAGUGGAUGUUCAUUUGGCAGCUUGAAACUGCUGAGAAAGGUGGAAACAAUAUGGAUGUCUUGGCAUCAUUCACUCUCCCUCUCUUCCCUCUCCCCAGAAGAGGCUGUAAUGCUAAGUGUGGAUCCUGCCAACUAAGCCAAGGCUGGAUCUUGAGGCAGGCCAUCAGGUGGUUA
RNAcentral lists this long non-coding RNA (2078 nucleotides) under Homo sapiens (human). RNAcentral's name for it is "HSALNT0033224". Lineage: Eukaryota; Metazoa; Chordata; Mammalia; Primates; Hominidae. The record is from RNAcentral.